AGAGUUUGAUCCUGGCUCAGGACGAACGCUGGCGGUGCGCUUUAUGCAUGCAAGUCGAGCGAAGCUUUUCAGUAGUUUACUACAGAAAAUGACUGAGCGGCGAACGGGUGAGUAACGCGUGAGCAAUCUACCUUAGUUACAGGGAUAGCCCGAGGAAACUCGGAUUAAUACCUGAUAUUCUUUAUUUCUCGCAUGAGAAUAAAAGGAAAGGUCAGCCGAACUAAGAUGAGCUCGCGUUCUAUCAGCUAGUUGGUGAGGUAAAAGCUCACCAAGGCUACGACGGAUAGCUGGUCUGAGAGGACGAUCAGCCACACUGGGACUGAGACACGGCCCAGACUCCUACGGGAGGCUGCAGCAGGGAAUAUUGUGCAAUGAACGAAAGUUUGACACAGCGACACAGCGUGUGGGAUGACGGAUCUAGGUUUGUAAACCACUUUCAGGAGGGAAGAAAAUGACGGUACCUCCAUAAGAAGCCCCGGCCAACUACGUGCCAGCAGCCGCGGUAAUACGUAGGGGGCGAGCGUUGUCCGGAUUUAUUGGGCGUAAAGAGCUCGUAGGCGGUUCAACAAGUCGGUCGUGAAAGUUCAGGGCUCAACCCUGAAAUGUCGAUCGAUACUGUUGUGACUAGGAUACGGUAGAGGUGAGUGGAAUUCCGAGUGUAGCGGUGAAAUGCGUAGAUAUUCGGAGGAACACCAAUUGCGAAGGCAGCUCACUGGGCCGCUAUCGACGCUGAGGAGCGAAAGCUAGGGGAGCAAACAGGAUUAGAUACCCUGGUAGUCCUAGCUGUAAACGAUGGAUACUAGACGUAGGAACUGGAUUGACGGUUUCUGUGUCGCAGCUAACGCGUUAAGUAUCCCGCCUGGGGAGUACGGUCGCAAGACUAAAACUCAAAGGAAUUGACGG
Molecule: ribosomal RNA, 903 nt
Filed under: uncultured marine bacterium
Lineage: Bacteria
Description: bacterial SSU rRNA
Rfam family: Bacterial small subunit ribosomal RNA
Source: RNAcentral